RNAcentral lists this ribosomal RNA (439 nucleotides) under uncultured bacterium. RNAcentral's name for it is "partial 16S ribosomal RNA". It matches the Rfam family "Bacterial small subunit ribosomal RNA", at positions 338 to 795 of the family's 1533-position model. The record is from RNAcentral.
CCUACGGGAGGCAGCAGUGGGGGAUAUUGCACAAUGGCCGAAACGCUGAUGCAGCGACGCCGCGUGAGGGAAGACGGUCUUCGGAUUGUUAAACUCUGUCUUUGGGGAAGAAAAUGACGGUACCCAAAGAGGAAGCUCCGGCUAAUUACGUGACAGCAGCCGCGGUAAUACGGAGGGCGCGAGCGUUGUCCGGAAUUACCGGGUGUAAGGGGAGCGUAGUCGGGAGAGAGAGUGGAAUGUUAAAUCUACCGGCUUAACUGGUACGUGCGUUCAAAACUUCUUGUCUUGAGUGAAGUAGAGGCAGGCGGAAUGCCUAGUGUAGCGGUGAAAUGCGUAGAUAUUAGGAGGAACACCAGUGGCGAAGGCGGCCUGCUGGGCUUUAACUGACGCUGAGGCUCGAAAGCGUGGGGAGCAAACAGGAUUAGAUACCCGUGUAGUC